Mytilus trossulus (common blue mussel) is the source of this 3017-nucleotide long non-coding RNA. RefSeq lists it as uncharacterized. NCBI's taxonomy places the organism in Eukaryota, Metazoa, Mollusca, Bivalvia, Mytilida, Mytilidae. The record is from RefSeq and is a predicted model, not a curated record. The transcript is spliced from 5 exons.
AUCAACAUUUUAGUGGCCUUUUUUUAUUUAAAAAAAAUAACAACUUGGCUGAAUACCUUAUGCCAAAGUCAUGACAGAGAAUUGAAACUGGUAUAUCGAAAGGAAGAGGCAGGUGUUUUGCAGUUGGCAUUUACCUUUGUCUACAUGCACUUUUAAGUCCAGAUAGGCCACAGCUGAGCUGGCGAGCACAAGCAAACAGAUUGCUCUUCCGAAUCAUGAAGCCAGUAUCAGGAUGUCCUUCCACAGAAAAGCGACAAUGUUUUCAUGAAUGUGGACUUGGACAAAUACUGCAUAUAUAUUAGUAGGCCAGCAUUUAUUAUAAUUUGUCAGUAUGGAUUGAUGUUUUAAAUAGUCAUUGGAGUUGACUUUUAAGCCUACCAUUACCAUGAUAACUGUGACUGCAUAUAAAAAUUGGAAUUAAUUUUGUCUUAUCUAAAUGUUAACAUACAGUUAGCCUACCGUGCAUGUUUUCAUUCAAAGGACACAGCUUUCAAUAAAGUUCAUCACAUUGAGCUAGCACUUGAUAACAACUGUUGUGCUAUUCUUGGUAUGUGAGACUUAUCUGCUGCAUUUGAAGUUAUUGACCAGCUGAUUCUGAUUGAACAUCUUGAAUACUUCUACAGAAUAUCUGUUAUGCCAUUUCAUUGACAAGAUUUUACUGAAGCAACUGAACAUAAAUUAUCACAAAACUCUCUAUUAAGAUUACCACAAGGCUCUCUAUUAAGAUAACCACAAGGCUCUCAAUUAGGAUUACCACAAGGCUCUCAACGAGGAUUACCACAAGGCUCUCAACUAGGAUUACCACAAGGCUCUCAAUUAGGAUUACCACAAGGCUCUCAAUUAGGAUCACCACAAGGCUCUCAUUAGGAUUACAACAAGGCUCUGUAUGAGGAUAACCACAAGGCUCUCUAUUAAGAUUACCACAAGGCUUUCAAUUAGGAUUACCACAAGGCUCUCAAUUAGGAUUACCACAAGGCUCUCAAUUAGGAUGACCACAAGGCUCUCAAUUAGGAUUACCACAAGGCUCUCUAUUAGGAUUACCACAAGGCUCUCAAUUAGGAUUACCACAAGGCUCUCUAUUAGGAUUACCACAAGGCUCUCUAUUAAGAUUACAACAAGGCUCUGUAUGAGGAUAACCACAAGGCUGGUUUGACAUAUAUAAUUGCAUAGAUGAGUUCAAAUUAGAUAUGCUUACAUUAAAUCAAGACAAAACUGAACAUAUUGUUUUUGCUCUUAAGCAACUAAAAAUGGACAUAUUAGAUUUCUGGCUUGCUUUCGUUGAAUCUUCAGUGUGUAAUGCUUAAUUUGUUAAUAGGUAUAUAGGUAUAUUUAUACAGUUGUAAUGAUUAUUCAUUCUGUAAUUUUAUGUAGUUUUAUUGUAUCAACCUUUUUAUUUUAUCUGAUGUGACAUAUUUUAGUUUGUUAAUUGACAAGAUUAUUCAACAUUUCAUGACAUAUAUAAGUGUGAUUUGAAAAUAGCCCCGUCCCCUCAGACAACCAUUUCAAUUUUUAAAUGAUAUUUUGAAAUCUAGUAUAAAUAUUAGUUAAAGGAACCUGCAAGAUAAGAUUUUUCUUUGUUUAAUUUGUAAUGAUCAGUUAAAGAGGAUAACUUUUGUGUAUUUGUCCAUCUUCACCUUCUAUCCAAAACUUCCUCCUGAACAUGCAUGCAAUAUAUGACACUGGACGUAAAGCAACCAACAAUCACUCAAUCCAAAGUCCAAUACGAUAUAAUCUGAAAGUGAUUCAUGUAUGAAGGGUUGGGUUUUGAUAAAUCACAGAAUAAGAUGAUUUAAAAGAACAAGAGUUUAGGGAUUGCUGCAGUGAUUGGUAAGAUAGACAUAAUUUGGUUUCUAUGGCACCUUCAUCAGAAUUAAAACUACAGAGGUAUACUAAAGCCUGAAGAAAAAAUUAGUAUUUUACAAUGUCACCAUCAGGAGAAAUUAUAAAUAGGUAGUGAAAGUAGAUGUGAAAGAUAACUUGAUCAAGAAUGUUUAAUAAAAUAUGUUUUUUUAUAAAUUUGGACGACAUUUUACUUGCAAUUAUGUAUCAUUUCCUACAUUGGAAAUAGUACAGACUUGCAGUCCUGUACCAAUUCAACACUUGAAGAAGUAUGUACGGUUGUCUGAGCGAAGCCAAUUGGAAGCAUGUACCUCUUAGUGAAGCUAAUUGGGAGUGUACCCUCUGUCCUUGCGAAGCCAAUUGGAAGCAGUGCAUAUAUAUCUCUGUCUGCUAACACUAAUUGGAAGUAAUGUACCACUGGCAGAGCGGUCCCAAUUAGAGGCAUGUAACUCUGAGCGAAGCCAAUUGGAAGCAUGUACCUCUGCAAAAUUAAUUAAACACUUUUAAACAAAUUUUAUUUAACAUUCUUUUUAAAGUUUACUUUCAUACCUACUUUCAUUUUCUAUUUAUGAUUAUUCCCCCUGUUGACACUUUGAAGUGCAAAUUAUUACUUCACCAUUUUGUACUCAUCUGUAGUUCUUAUUCUGAUGAAGGUGUCCUAGAAAUUAAAACAUGCAAACAUCUUUAAAUACUCCAACAAUCCCUGACAUUUAUUAAUUCAUAUGAACAAAUUGUGCAACGAUAUCAGUUUGUUUAUUAACAUUUGUAACAAUGAAUAAUCAUAAUAUCCUUGACAUAAAAUGUUUAUUAACAUUUGUAACAAUGAAUAAUCAUAAUAUCCUUGACAUAAAAGUAACUAUAAGUCACCUAAUAGAAUUUACUAGAAACAAAGUACUUUUAAAAUGUUGCACAAAAUAGAUUUAAACAGUAGCCUAAAGUACUUAAUAUGACAACAGAUAGAUUUUACUAUUUAUAAGUACUUAAAAUAACACCAUAUAGAUUUGAAUAGAAACAUUAAGUACUGUAUAUGGCACCAAAUAGUAUGAAAUAAUUCAUUUAUCACAACCAACAUAAUGUAAAAUAAUCUGUUUCAUUGAUACAUGAGCUCUGUAUCUGUAAAAAAAAAAACUUAUUGCAUGUUUUCAUUGUAUUUAGUUAAUUAAUCUGUAUGCAAAUUA